AUGGCCGAUAAUGAUUUAAAGGAGAUACAUGUUGCCAAUAACACAAAUGAAGAGGCCGGGGAUGGUACCACCACUGCCACCGUUUUGGCACGUUCUAUUGCCAAGGAAGGCUUUGAAAAGAUUAGCAAAGGUGCUAAUCCAGUGGAAAUCAGGAGAGAAAUUGGCAGCAUCAUUUCUGAUGCAAUGAAAAAGGUUGGAAGAAAAGGUGUCAUCACAGUAAAGGAUGAAAAAACACUGAAUGAGGAAUUAGAAUUUAUUGAAGGCAUGAAGUUUGAUCGAGGCUGUAUUUCUCCAUACUUUAUUAAUGCAUCGAAAGGUCAGAAAUGUGAAUUCCAGGAUGCCUAUGUUCUAUUAAGUGAAAAGAAAAUUUCUAGUGUCCAGUCAACUGUACCUGCUCUUGAAAUUGCCAAUGCUUACUGUAAGCCCUUGGUCAUAAUUGCUGAAGAUGUUGAUGGAGAAGCUCUAAGCACACUCAUUUUGAAUAGGCUAAAAGUUGGUCUCCAAGUUGUAGCAGUCAGAGCUCCAGGUUUUGGUGAUAAUACAAAGAACCAGCUUAAAGACAUGGCUAUUGCUACUGGUGGUGCAGUGUUCAGAGAAGAAGAGUUGACCCUAAAUCUUGAGGACGUUCAGCCUCAUGACUUAGGAAAAAUUGGAGAGGUCAUUGUGACCAAAGAUGAUACCAUGCUCUUGAAAGGAAAAGGUGACAAGGCUCAAAUUGAAAAACGUAUUCAAGAAAUUGGUGGGCAGUUAGAGAUUACAACUGGUGAAUAUGAAAAGGAAAAACUGAAUGAAUGUCUGGCAAAACUUUCAGAUGGAGUAGCUGUGCUGAAGGCUGGUGGAACAAGUGAUGUUGAAGUAAAUGAAAAGAAAGUCAGAGUUACAGAUGCCCUUAAUGCCACAAGAGCUGCUGUUGAAGAAGGCAUUGUUCUCAGAGGGGGUUGUGCCCUGCUUCGGUGCAUUCCAGCCUUGGACUCAUUAACUCCAGCUAAUGAAGAUCAAAAAAUUGGCAUAGAAAUUAUUAAAAGAACACUCAGAAUUCCUGCAAUGACCAUCACUAAGAAUGCAGGUGUCGAAGGAUCUUUGAUAGUGGAGAAAACAAUGCAAAGUUCCACAGAAGUUGGUUAUGAUACUGUGAUUGGUGAUUUUGUGAGUAUGGUAGAAGAAGGAAUCAUUGAUCCCACAAAGGUUGUAAGAACUCUUUCCUGGAUGCUGCUGGGGGGCUUCUCUGUUAACUACAGCAGACGUUGUAGUCACAGAACUUCCUAAAGAAGAGAAGGACCCUGGAAUGGGUGCAAUGGGUGGCAUGGGAGGUGGUAUGGGAGGUGGCUUGUUCUAAUUCCUAGAAUAGUGCUUUACCAUUAAUGAACUGUGACAGGAAGCUCAAGGUGGUGUUCCUCACCAAUAACUUUGGAGAAGUCAGUUGAAGAAAGUGAAGAAAAGGCUGGCUGAUGUUUAAGAAA
Molecule: RNA transcript, 1460 nt
Organism: Otolemur garnettii (small-eared galago)
Lineage: Eukaryota; Metazoa; Chordata; Mammalia; Primates; Galagidae
Gene name: 60 kDa heat shock protein, mitochondrial-like
Exons: 4
Source: RefSeq, a predicted model, not a curated record